This is a long non-coding RNA of Lytechinus pictus (painted urchin), 4862 nucleotides long. RefSeq lists it as uncharacterized. NCBI's taxonomy places the organism in Eukaryota, Metazoa, Echinodermata, Echinoidea, Temnopleuroida, Toxopneustidae. The transcript is spliced from 3 exons. The record is from RefSeq and is a predicted model, not a curated record.
UUCUCCAGAAUUGAUGGGGAGAGACUGGCACAGCUCAACAAAGUCUUAAGAUGCAUUCGAUUAGGCAAUUUCAGAUAUGCCCAUAAGCCACUCAACCUAGGAGAAUUGUCUGGCAAUCAUUUCAUUAUCAUAUUAAGAAUGAUGAAGGGGAGUAGAGAGCAGAUCAAUAGGGCAAUGACAUCCCUGAGUGAUGUUGGUUUCAUCAAUUACUUUGGUAUGCAGCGAUUUGGUAAUUCACUCAUCUCUACAUACCAUGUAGGAAGGUAAACUCAUAGCCAUCUCUUUUACAGUUUCUUUCACUUCGCUUACUUUCACAUGUAUAUACAUGUCUUAUUAACUGUAUUGAUUUCAAUUGAUAUCAAGUAUGGAAAGCCACUGGUGUCAUUGUUCAUCAUGUAACAGAAUUUUACCUGGUCAUUUGUAAAAGAAAAAUCAAAAUGAUCAAGGCAUGACCAUAUGGUAUCCCCUGCGAUCACUAUUGAAGCUAGAUGAUGAUAUUAUAGAAACGCUUGCUUUUCAUAGAUGAGAUUGAUUAAUAAAUGAUAAUGAUAAUCCACUUUUAUAUAGCGCUUUAUACAUCGGAACGACGUCUCUAUAAGGCACUGUACGGAUAUAUGAUUACCCCGGUCAUGGGAUCCUGGCAUGCCCGCAUACAAUGUAUGCACUUUCUCCGCUCCCUGGGGAGCAUUCCAACAAGAGUUCAAAGACUCCAUUGCUAGGCAUACUACAUAGGCUUUUUCAUCCUACCGUGUUCCCAUUUAACACCUGGGUGUGGAUGGAUGCCUUGCCAAAGGAUGCUAGGCAAUGGUGGGAUUCAUAAUACCAUCAGUGAGUAUAAGGAACAGCAGCAUUCCUCUGGUCACAAUUGCAGACUUUGGCAUGUAUUCUGACCUCUGGUUAAACUGGAACCAUGGUCUGAACAUGAGGUUUAAAUAUUGGAAGCCACUUCCAACAUAAAUCUCUGCUUCUAGAUAUCUAGUCAGUCAGUGCAUCUGGCACUCAAACCAUUCAGAACUCUCUGAAAUGAUGAAUAUUUUCUUCUCCAUUAUCGCAAGAGAAAACAUAAAUACAUUUUAAAUAAAUUCUAUCUUCUUUGCUGUUCAUGAUUUUAGCAUAGACUUAUACCCUAGCUGAAGUGGAAUCAUAUUAUAGGAUACAGGCAAGAAGGUUUAUUUAUUGAUUCAAUCAGGAUGGUUCCAAGAAGCAAGCCGAAAAAAUAGUUGGUACAAUAUUAAGCUUGGCUUGAAUACUUUGCUUUCCUUCAAAAGGCAAUAUUGGUAACCCUUGAAACUCCUUUGACCCCACCUCAUUCAAACUAGCCCUUAUCAGCUUGUAAUGGCCAGCUUCCAUAUCUUAUAAAUGCUCAAUCGAUUUUGCCUGAUGUCUCAAAAUAUAGGCCUUGCAGGUAUUAAGAACCUGAAAAUGCAUAGCUUUACUAUGCACUGUGCAUAUUGACUUCCUUUUACUUUGUAUAACUAGGAUGUAGGUGGAGUUAUAAAUGCUAACAUGUAAAAAUCAUGGCUUAAUACCAGCUGGAAAUUUUGGUGAUAAUGUUAUUUGAUGUGACACAAACUGUUUUCAUAAAAAUAAAUGUGAAUUUACAUUUUGACUUUCCUACCUCAACAGAAUCAGUCAAGAAAAGAUCUUUCAGUCAGAAUGAAGAUUAUGCAUAAUUGGAUCAGAGAUUGUAAAAACAUAACCAAAGAAAGGGUUUAUCCGAUAUAGGUAUGAAUAUCAUACUAAUAUGAAUGUAACUGAGAAUCUUUAAGCCAAUCAUUGAAUAAUUCAAAAACUUCAUGCAAUAUAGGUAUAAACAUAAUCUUUUUACAAGCCAGUCAUUAAAUAAUUUUAAAAAGUUCAGCUAGAUGAUCCAUGUGCAACUAUGUGUAUGAGUAACAAGGUGUUUGAGCUGUAACCGGAGAUCUUGCCUUCGGGGGAAUGGGUGUGGAAGAAAUGAUUAAUACCAGAGAGAUUUCAAGUGGCAUUGUCAAGGAAACAUACAGAAAAAAGUUAUGAAACAAAAUGUUCUAUUUCCAUAUGAAAAGAGAUAAUGUUCCUUGUAAGUAUAAUUAGGGGGGUAUUAGGCUAUAGCAUAUUGCAUACAUGUGCAAUUAUUUCAUUUUUUCAUACCAUUUGCUACCACUUUCCUUUUCGGCUGAAAAAAAAGACCUGGUACGGUACACAGAUAUUAAAUUUAAUGAUUAUCCCUGAAAGAAUUGCUCUGAUAUUCACUGAAAAAUAAAAUUUUCCUUAUCUCUGUGUAUUUUAAUUUUAAAUUACCAUUUUUUCUGACCCAUAGGCUGAAUGGGGGUUAAUCACUGAAGGCUAUAAUUUAUAACAAGUAACGAAAUAACUCUUAAUCUGUGUAUUAAACCUGAAAGCAAUAUAAAUUUCAGGAACUGAUUCACUAAAGGUUUUUGGGAUCAAUAUGAACAUUGGAAUCACUGUGAAAGAUAAAAGUGAUCUGAACCAAUUCCAACUUGUCACAAAUGUUCACUGCACCUCAUUUCCACCAGGACACAGCCCACAGCUGAGCCCACAGCUGAGGCUAUGUCUGAAUGCGUAUACCAAGCUGGCCCUGUGUGAGCAAUGAGAGUAAAACUCAAACACGAUGAAAGUUUGAUUUUACUACAAAUGUGGUAAUUAUACCAGUCGACUGACUCUGACAGAAAUUCAGAUAUUAGGUGUUACUUUUCCUGUAUUCAGUGAAAUUUCAAUUUUAUAACACUAACAUAUAACCUACAAAAAAAUACAACCAAAAUAUCUGAAAUAUGAAGUCAUGGUCAAAAUUUGAGUCUAUUGAUUUUAGUGUGCUUAUGAAUAUUUAGUGUUAUAGUAAAUCAAUCCCUGCCAAAAGCAAUUUAAUGGACCAGUGUGUUGGGAUUUAAAUUAGGUUGGGAUGAAUAUUGAGCCCAGAAAAUUCUUUUAGGAAUGAUAUCACAGUAAAUCACUCCCAUGGUUUAAUCAUUGGUAAAUUUUUAGAAGACUCAACAUGUAAUAUUCAAAACAAAGUGGGAUAUAAGAUUUUGUUUUGGAGGGGUCGGGGGUUUGUAUAGACUAACAUUUAAUAGGAACUGAACUUUUAAUUAAAUACAUCACAACCAAUGCUGAUGAUUUCCACAGAAUUUGACCAGACAAGAGGCAAGUACGAUAGAAAUUGGGACAGCCCAUGUAAUUUUAAGAUUCUCCUGACCUGUUUGUCUAUCUCUGUGGAGUAAGAAAUUGGACUUGCAUCUGUUGAGACUGGCAAGAGAUCGAGGUUAGAAGAUUAAGCUUGGAUUAGCAGAUGGAUUUAUCGCUGCAACGCCAGGACAUUUUUAGGUUGAUCCAUUCACACAGAGUGGAUCAAACUUGGGAUAUUGUCAUUUCUUCAGCUUCCUUCACUUAAUCCGCCCACUUGAAUCUUCGACCAGUCCUGUCCAGUUUUAAAUAUGACUUGAUCUCUCCUGAUGAAAUGUUUGAUUCCAAGGAUGCUGCAAGAUUUUAUUGAAAUUAUGUUUCUGUGUUAGUAUUUUUUAUUGAAGAUUGAUUGGAGAAUUUUAGAAAAGACUUAAAGCAUAUAGUAGUAAAUUUGCAAAUAUUCACGAGGUUUGUUUUAAUGUGAUUUAUUUGUAGAAACGAGAAAGCCAAAUAUAAGAAAAUGUUCCAAAUAUUUAAAGGUGUUUGGUCUCAUGCUCAAAUUUUCAUGUAAAUUAUUGUGUUCAUCAUUCCUAGAUAUGAAGGGCCUUUUGAAACGGAAAGUGGCAUUUCAAACGGAAAAUCACGGAAAACGUAUUUUCCCUCAAAAGACACAGAAUAGCAACAGAAAUUACUCCGAAAUCACAACAAAAUGAGAAUAUUAAAUGGCCACAAAACCCUAGAAAACACGAUCUCACUUCGCUACUAUCAUGACAAUUCACACAUCGUGACUGCACUCGACAUCAGCACACUCGAUUGUACCCCGCACCGUACCCGUAUACCCGGCCGGCCGGGUUGGGCUUCACAUGCACACAUAUCAUUCAACUACACGGUCGUGUGUUGCUGCCCUCUACGUUUGAACAUGUAACAGCAUGAUAUCGUGGUCUUAAAAUCCAAGAUGGCGGAUUGGCAAAAGCUGUUGACUAAUCAUAACGAUGUCCAAAAAAACCCAAAAUUAUCGAUGAAAUAUCAUUUCACCGUGAAAUAAUGCUAAUAAUGUGAAAGGUGAGGAUGUAUGCAUGCUAAAUGGGUUUGUAAAAAUAUUUUAUGCACCCACAUAGAUCCGAUUAGAACGGAUUCUAUUGUGUUGUUGGUACAGUAGCAGAUACAAAUUUUGACCAGUGCGAGUGUUUGUACGUGUUGUGAUUUUGCUAUUCAAUGUGUAAACGGAAUUGUCACUUUUCCGUGUGUACAAAGUCUAUGGGGAAACAGAAUUUCCGUUUUCUGACAUGCUGAAAAGGAAUUUGAGAUUUUCUGAAACGGAAAAGGCAAUUUUUUGAAACGGAAAAUCACUGUCCCUAGAUAUGGUAAUGCUAUAAAAUGAGCAAAUAAGAACAGAGCAUUGUAUUGCAUAGGGAUAAAAACAAUUCAUUAAUUAGGAUUAUACAUCUAUUAUUUUGCGUGAUAAAUUCAUUUUUCCAUAAAGGAAAAAUCAGUAAACUUCAAGAAAAAGCAGCUUCUUUAAUCAAAUUUCUACAAAGUCAAAGAAAAAAUAUCAAUCUAAUUGUUUUCUGAUAAAUUUAGUAGUUUGAAACAGAUUUUUAGAGAUAUCGAAAUUCUUUUUUUUAAUAUCAUCCAUUUAACGUCUUGUUUUCAUAUUUACAAAAUGAAGAUAUGUGAUUUAGAACCAAGUUUUGAUCUCAAAGUCGAAAUCAAGAGGGAUUUUGAUCUUAGAAUAUUUUUGU